CCGAGAACCAGAGAAAAUGGUAUCCUUUUGUUGUUCCCUUACUCCAUCACCAACUGCCAUUUCCAUGCUCAUCUCACACCAAACUUACGUCUCCAUGCUAGACAAAAAUUGUAAUACCAUGAAAGACCUCCAAAAACUCCAUGCCCAACUCAUCAAAACUGGUCUAGCCAAGCAUCCUAUUGCCGCUAGUCGGUUGUUAGCCUUUUGCACCUCUCCGGCUGGUGACAUCAACUAUGCUUACUUAGUCUUUACGCAAAUUCAAAACCCAAAUCUCUUCAUAUGGAAUAAUAUCAUUAGAGGCUUCUCUCAGAGCUCUACUCCGCAAAUUGCAAUCUUUUUAUUCAUUGACAUGUUGCUCACUUCCCCAAUUCAACCUCAAAGACUGACCUUUCCUUCAGUUUUUAAGGCUUAUGCUCAACUUAAUCUUGCCUGUGAAGGAGCUCAACUUCAUGGUAUGGUGAUCAAAAUGGGACUUGAUAAUGAUCCCUUUAUACGAAAUACUAUCUUGCAUAUGUAUGCGAAUUGUGGGUUCAUGAGUGAAGCACGAAAGGUGUUUGAUGGAGUUUUUGAUUUUGAUGUUGUUGCUUGGAAUAUAAUGAUUAUGGCACUUGCUAAAUGUGGAGUAGUUGAUGAGUCAAGAAGGUUAUUUGACAACAUGUUAUUGAGGAAUACGGUUUCUUGGAAUUCAGUGAUUAGUGGUUAUGUGAGGAAUGGUAGAUUCAUUGAGGCAUUGGAGCUUUUUCAUAAAAUGCAAGAAGAUAGGAUUAAGCCUAGUGAGUUUACAAUGGUAAGCUUGUUAAAUGCUUGUGCUUGCUUAGGAGCAAUUAGGCAAGGAGAAUGGAUUCAUGAUUAUAUGGUAAAGAACAAGUUCGAACUAAAUGCUAUUGUUGUUACAGCAAUUAUAGACAUGUACUCCAAGUGUGGAAGCAUUAAUAAAGCUCUUCAAAUGUUUAAGAGUGCACCCAAGAAAGGAUUAUCAUGUUGGAAUUCUACAAUUUUAGGUCUAGCAAUGAAUGGUCAAGACAAUGAAGCAUUCCAAUUAUUUUCAUUGCUUGAGUCUUCAAAUUUGAAACCAGAUCAUGUCAGUUUUAUCGGUGUCUUGACAGCUUGUAAUCAUUCUGGCUUGGUGGAUAAAGCCAAGGAUUAUUUCUUGUUAAUGAAAGAAAGAUAUAAGAUCAAACCAUCAAUAAAACAUUAUAGUUGUAUGGUUGAUGUGCUAGGCCGAGUAGGACUCCUAGAAGAGGCAGAAGAACUCAUAAGAAGUAUGCCUAUGGAUCCAGAUGCCAUCAUAUGGGGAUCUUUACUCUGGUCUUGUUGCAAAUAUGGAAAUAUAGAGAUGGCAAAUCGGGCAGCAAAGCAUUUGAUAGAGUUAGAUCCAAGUGAAACUUCAAGUUUUGUACUGAUGGCUAAUUUCUUUGCUGCCUCUGGUCAUUUUGAGGAAGCAAUAGAGCAAAGGCUUUCAGUAAAAGAAAAGCAGAUAGAGAAAGAACCUGGAUGUAGUUUAAUUGAAGUAAAUGGGGAAGUUCAUGAAUUUGUAGCAGGUGGGAGGCAGCAUCCAAAAUCCAAAGAAAUCUACUAUUUGUUGGAUUUUCUGAAACUGAUAAUAAAAGAAACAGAAUAGAUUCUGAAACUGAUAAUUGUGUGGAAGAACAAUAGUACAAGUUCUUUUCUGCAGAUCAACUAUCUCAAUGAAAAUAUGAUUGUAAAAAUAAAAUGCGCUUGUAUGGUUUCCAUGCUAAAAGCUAUAAAGAUAAUGUUCUUCAGAGAUGUCUAACAAUGCUACUGAACAUCACUGAGACCUGUUAUGAGAAGCUUAUACCAUAGAUUUGCCGUUAAUCAGGUUAGGAUUUUGUCAUGGUUCGUCCCGGUGCCCAUGAGUAUAUCUCAGGGGGCACCAUACAAUUGGUGAGCAAGUUUUGUGGCGCUCCAUAGAGAUCUGAAAUAUCAAGGUGGUGGUGGUGGUGACGGCCAUUUUGGUAAUGCUGAUUCUGCAUGGCAGCAGCAAAUUCAUCCUCAUCCAAUGGCAAACGAUCGUAAGUAGCAUUCAUGAAAGAUGCCGCCAUGAUCACAACGGGGCCAGAUGCAAUGAGUGCUCCAACAACUCCCCCUCCGACAACCUGUCCCUGAGCCCCUGCUAAGUAAAUAGUUAGCCCUGUAAUCCCUGGUGGAGCAGGCGGUGGCAAUAUUGAUCCAUGCAAUGAGUGCUCCAACAACUCCCCCUCCGACAACCUGUCCCUGAGCCCCUGCUAAGUAAAUAGUUAGCCCUGUAAUCCCUGGUGGAGCAGGCGGUGGCAAUAUUGAUCCAAGCAAUGAGAGUAUCUCAAACCGGCCAUGAAGGGUCACAAUGGCCCCGGAUGAAGCUGGUUGUCUUAGAGUGACAUUGGUUACACAGCCACUUCCACUAAGCACGCACACUCCACGCUGUUUCCUCCUUGCAAAGUUAGCUAAACUCUCACUCACAUCACAGCCUGUGCUGACCUCCAUUGCAUGAGCCCUUAGUGCAUUUGCACUAUCUCGAGUGACAAUAAUGGGUGGUUUUGGCUUAUU
RNAcentral lists this unclassified non-coding RNA (2547 nucleotides) under Hevea brasiliensis (rubber tree). The record is from RNAcentral. Lineage: Eukaryota; Viridiplantae; Streptophyta; Magnoliopsida; Malpighiales; Euphorbiaceae.